Molecule: long non-coding RNA, 425 nt
Filed under: Brassica rapa (field mustard)
Lineage: Eukaryota; Viridiplantae; Streptophyta; Magnoliopsida; Brassicales; Brassicaceae
Description: long non-coding RNA (BRAP_LNC002077)
Source: RNAcentral
ACGGUGAUGGCGGUGGCGGUGGGCACGGUGAUGGCGGCGUUACGACGGGUGGAGGCGUAUGAGUGGGUGGUUUAGGGGUGGACGGAGGUGGUUUAACAGUGGGCGGUUUCGUGGGUGGUUUCGGGGUAGACGGAGGAGGUUUAACGGUGGGCGGUUUCGUGGGUGGUUUCGGGGUGGACGGAGGUGGUUUAACGGUGGGCGGUUUCGUGGGUGGUUUCGGGGUGGGAUGAGGUUUGGUAGGGGGUUUCGGAUGUGGGUGUGGUUUGACAGUGGGCGGUUUGGUAGGGGGUUUAGGGUGUGGGUGUGGUUUGACGGUGGGUGGUUUGGGAGGUUUUACUGCCGGUGGUUUAGGCGGUUUGCUAGGAUGUUUAGGCGGUUUGUGGGGGUGAGGUGAUGGUUUAGGAGGGCUACAGUCGCAAGCGAAG